CAGCCGCCGCGGGAAUACGUAGGUGGCAAGCGUUGCCCGGAAUUAUUGGGCGUAAAGGGCUCGCAGGCGGUUUCUUAAGUCUGAUGUGAAAGCCCCCGGCUCAACCGGGGAGGGUCAUUGGAAACUGGGAAACUUGAGUGCAGAAGAGGAGAGUGGAAUUCCACGUGUAGCGGUGAAAUGCGUAGAGAUGUGGAGGAACACCAGUGGCGAAGGCGGCCCCCUGGACAAAGACUGACGCUCAGGUGCGAAAGCGUGGGGAGCAAACAGGAUUAGAUACCCGCGUAGUCCCUGUCUCUUAUAC
This 301-nucleotide ribosomal RNA is filed under the name uncultured bacterium. RNAcentral describes it as "partial 16S ribosomal RNA". It matches the Rfam family "Bacterial small subunit ribosomal RNA", at positions 509 to 807 of the family's 1533-position model. The record is from RNAcentral.